RNAcentral lists this transfer RNA (68 nucleotides) under Aspidoscelis tigris. RNAcentral describes it as "tRNA-Ala". The record is from RNAcentral. Lineage: Eukaryota; Metazoa; Chordata; Lepidosauria; Squamata; Teiidae.
CUAAGACUUGCGUUAUUCAAACACAUCUCCUGAAUGCAACUCAGACACUUUAAUUAAGCUAAAGCCUC